Molecule: transfer RNA, 76 nt
Filed under: Candidatus Woesearchaeota archaeon
Lineage: Archaea; Nanobdellati; Candidatus Woesearchaeota
Description: tRNA-Arg
Source: RNAcentral
GAGCCUGUAGCGCAGCCUGGAACAGCGCGAGAGCCUCCUAAGCUCUAGGUCCGGGGUUCAAACGCAGAUUUUUGCU